GAGUUCCUCAACUGCAUCUGAUGGUUCACCUCUCUUGCGUAGAUCCGUCACAGCCCUUUUUCACCCGCCAGGGCUCCCGACAAGAAAAGAAAGACUGGAGAGCAGAGGUUGGAGAACAAGGGGACACGGAGACUUCCUCAGCCGGGACCUGAGUGUUCCUGCUCCGCCCUGAGCAGAGCAGCACAGCGUCCAUGCUCGCCCUUCCCGACUCCCCAACACUAGCCUGAGGUGAGGGCGCUUCCUUUCGGCCUGCACAGUGUUUCUGACGGCGACGAAUAAAAUACUACUCUACAGCGGACCUGCGACUGACUCGCAGCAACCUAAAGUCCGGGCGUGACCCAGGGGUGGAGGAUGAAGCGACUGCGACAUUUACCUCACCCUUCUCCGGCCUGGCCGCUUCCGGCCUUUCCGGGUCGCCCAUCGCGCAGACUCCACCAGAGCCACCCGAGCUGAGGAACUGAGCGCGGCCGACCAAAUCCUAGUAGGAUCAGAUCGUCCUGUGCGAACCUCCUCCUGCUCCGGGCACGCCUUGCCGCGCCGGUCCUGGGUUCUAGCCGGCCCAUUGAGGGGCCUUCUCUGCGGUGGCUCCGCCCAGGCACGCUACUCUCGGCGCCUGAAAGAUCCGCCUUUCCUGCCGGCCCCGCCCCACUGCCUAGAGAUCCGCCUACCUCAGCCGGCUCCACCCAGCGUCUCAGAGAUCCGCCUACCUCAGCCGGCCCCGGCCCGCCCCGCCAGAGAUCCGCCUACCUCAGCUGGCCCCGCCCCUCGCCGCCGAACUCUGCUUCCUCGGCUGGCCCGCUUCUCUUCACUGAGCAGGGUCCCCACUCCGGCGACGGCUGCGUAAGUUCAGUCCGCAGUACCAGAGCACUUCAAGCCUGUUCUUUAGCGUCGCAUGACCCCGCCCACUCUUGCUCCCCCAGCUUCCGCGCUGUUGCCCAGCCUGUCAUCUGCUCUGAAUUCUAGAGCGUCUACUGGAAUUUGCAGUCUGCCUACUUGUGCCAGACUACCUGGUACACGAGGUGACUGGCACGCCGGGACAUUCCCUAGCCCUCGUGGUGCCCCAGCGACACGGUAGGUUGCACCCAGUCAGUCCAAGAGACUGCCAGAGUGGCUGUAGAGCUGCCCACUGGAUGGGAUGUGGAAAGCAGGGUGGGAGGUCGACACUGUUAAAAACUCCAAGGAGAAAGGAACUCUUGUAUUUCAGCAACCAAAAGGAGAAACUGGAGGGGGAAAGUGUGUGCGUGAAUGGAGCUUGAGAAUGAGUAGGAAAAAUAGCUAAAUCCUGGGAAAUACCUUGAAGUCUUUGUGAUUGUUUAACUGAGUAAUAUUUAUUGAACUUUCACAACCUGAUAGGUUCUAUUCUGCUAAGCCCUUUAUGUGAAUUAAUCUUUGAGAUAUUUCCCUGUAGUCGAUACUGCAAUUUUCAUGUUCCAGAUUAAACUGAACCCGAAGAUAAAUAGCCAAGAUUAAGCAACCAAAAUACGGUAGACUCCAAUAUCCUUGCUACGGAUACUUUUCAAAGCAAAGGUUAAAGUUGUAAAGAGAUUCAACACUUUUGUAUUGCAAGGGCCAAAGACAGUGAAUAAUGAUGGUGGCAAUACUCUUGGUUGAAUUGCUUCUAUGUUUUCAGCAUAUGGUACAUAUAUGGUAGUACGACAGAAAAAUAUAAUGAGCGGGAUGGGACUGUAGCUCAUUAGGUGAUGAUGUACAAGGCCUUGGGUUCAAUCCCCAGCACUACCCCUUCUUGUAUACAAACACAAAUAAGAUAUACAAAUUAAAUAAUAAUAUGGUGAAAGAAGAGUUGAGUAUGGUAUUGAACACCUCUGAUCCCAGCAUCUUGGAUAGGAGCAGGAGGAUCGUGAAACCAAGGUCGUCUUGGGCUAGAUGGGAAGAUCCAGUCUCAAAGCCAAAAACCAAAAACGUGAAAAAGAAGUAAGAGAUUUUCAGUAGAUUCUGGAAAGAGCCUUGUUAUGACUUCAACAUCUGGCAACUGCUUGGUGGUUAGCCUCUAAAAUAGAAAGCAGGAUAGAAAUUUUGCUUUAAGCUCUAAAGCUUAAUUAACCUGAAGCGAGUUAUCUUUCUUGGAGCAAUAUGAUCAAAUGCUGAGUAAAAACUUUUUAUAUAUUAUAAAGUUUUCUGGGAGGAAAGUCAUUCUCACAAAAGAUAACUUACCAAAGAUUGCAUAGCAAAUAAACUACAAACAAGGAUUCAUUCAUUCAAAGUCAUCAAAACAAUACAUCUCAAAGCAUUUUUUAAGAGUAAUUCUGCAUGAAGGCACGGAAGAGCAUUUAGAUGCAGAUAAGGCGACCUGCUUAAUAGUCCCUGAAAUGUGUUAUUUUGGAAGGAAAUGAAUGCUUAGCGUGGCACAGAAUUCCAGUCUGCUUCCUCAAGUAAGUAAUAUGAGGAAUCCCAAGUAACCCUCCCUUCUCAGAGCACAGACAUGGAGAUGCAUUCCUUCAGUGCUUUCCUGAUGCUCCAUUUGUAUUGAUUUCUUACAACUUUCACAGCUCUGUUCAAUUAGGUCUCUUCAGCUUGCUGAAGAGUUCCACGUGGUCUUCUCACAGGGCAGACAGUAUCUCCCAACCCUCCACUCAGCUGAGUGUGGAUACUGGACAGCACUUUCCCUCUAGUACCUGGAAGAACCUGUUUGGACCUACACUAAAGCAAGGAGACGACUUUAAAAAUGUUUUUAAAGUAUAUGAAUAUUAUAUCUCUGUGUGUGUAGGUAACUAUGGAGUUCAGAAAAGGGUACUGAAUGCCUUGGAGCUGGAGAUACAGGGUACUUGGAAACUUGUAUCUUCUGCAAAAGCAGCUAAUCACCCCAAAUUUGAAGCAGUGGGGACCUCUGUCCUUGGUGCUGAUGUUACUCACAGUAGUCCAAGAGACCAAGAUAAAUCAACUUUUUAUUUUCCAUCACUUCUCAGCCCCUGAGAGACUGAAGUACAAAAGUAACCAAAGACUAAGCUAUAAGCAGUGGUCAUAAACAAAUGCCAUUUUGAUUUCAGAAGCAGACAAGACAGAAAUCACUCCUCUUGCUUAGCUUCACUGAGAGUUGGCUUUCCUAGUAUCGUGGCUUCUCUUCUACCCUGACCUUGAUUCUUUAGCCCAUUCAGAAAGACCUCCAGUGGAGAGGAGGGUUACAUAUUUGGAAGUGUAGAGAUUAGAGCCAAUUUGAAUAGGCUGUGUGCAGAAGAGUGCAAGCAUCACAUAAGGCAAUGGGAAUACAAGAAAGAAUGAGUUAAUAGUUUUAAACAUCAUCUUCCUAGGGUGGGAGAGAUGGCUCAGCUGUUAAGAGCACCAACUGCUCUUUCUAGGUUCAAUUCCCAGCUCCCACUUGGAGGCUAACAACCUUCUGUAACUUAGUUCCAAGGGACCUAACACACUCUUCUGUGCUCCAUGGGCACUGCAUACAUGCAGUACAGACAUACAUAUAACAUACGUACAUACAUACAUACAUACAUACAUACAUACAGGCAAAACACCAAUAUAGAUAGAAUAAGUCUAUUAAAAAGUGGGGGGCAUCUGUGUAAAUGCCUUCACCAGUGAGCAGCUGUGAAGGAUAUUAAAUCAGUAAAUGAGUGAUAUUAACUACAGGUUUAAAAACAUACAGGUAGCUAGGGAAUCAACAAAGCCUUUGGCAAUGGAUUCUUAGUAGGCAGAAGAGUUCCGUUCUAAACUGGACAGCUGAUUGUGCUUCAGUCUAGAAGUGUGGCUCAGCCUUGUAUUUGCUGUUGUAGCUGUGACAUUGUCAAAGCCAUAUUGAAUAAAGCACUUAGCUCAAAUGAAUCAGCAGUCAAUAAUACAGACUGUCUGCUUUAGUUUCAAGAACUGUAUGAAGAACAUUUUCCCACAGAAAUAUUUUAGGCACUGGCACAUCCAGGAUAACCACCAGACAAAGGAAGUGAACAUAGUCCUAAGUUAACGUUGGUCAUCACAAUUCAUUAAUUCAAAAAUGUUAGGUGACCAAGAUUGUGGCUUGAGUUUGCUCCCUGGAACUCACAUAAGGCAGGAGAACCAAAUCCACAAAAUUGUCUUUGAACUUCUUCAUCUGUGUAUUUCAGAUUAAAGACCUUUUAGGACACAGCUUUGGGUAUACUGGGUCUUAAACUCAGCGUUUCACACAUUCUAAAUCAUGUAUUUAUGUUCUACACUACUGCCUUCUUUCAGAGUAUAUGGAAUGUUUUAGUCAAGCUAUUAUACUGAAGCAGAUGUUAGCCUUUGAACUCAAACACACUAAUGUUCAAAUAAUUUAGACCAGUCUAGUGUUACAAAAUGUUUCUCAUAACCAGCGCCUGUGCCACAUUUCUGAACGUUCAUUGCCUUCCUGGCCCUAAGUUUGCUACUUCUACUUACAUGGGGCAGGAAUCUGGUGCUCACACUCCACACCUAUACAUUUACUCUGGCACUUGCUCAGUGCCUUAUUUUUAUUUACUCACUACCCCAAUCCGUUUCUUGAUAGGUGAAGAUAUGUUUUCCUGAGGGCAGAAUUUUUCUAAUAAAAUAUGGCAAAAUGUGUUGAUUCCCUAAAUUAAUAUGGUAGUAUAUAGUCACUAAGCCUUCCAUUUCUGUAGGCUAUGAUUCCAAGAGACAAAUGAAAAAACAGCUGGCUACCUAGGCGCAUGAGACACUUUAGGCUAAUGUGUGACUAUACAUAAAGUGUGCCUGUCUAACUAUUAGCAUUCAGACUGGGCACACGAAUGUGCUUCACUAUUCGGAUUUGUAGGGAGCAGGGGAUACAUGCCAAGGAGCAAAUGGAGAAGCCACAAGACAAUUUGUACUUGGCUCUCCUACCUGUGGGUUCUGAAGAUCAAAUUCAGAUCAUCCAGCAAGGCAGUCAGUGUUUUUACCCAUCGAGCCAUCUUUUUGAGUUUGCAGUCCUUUUAAUUUUAUGAGAACUUAGAACAAAUUCAUUUCAUUGUAUACUUUUCAUUUUAAUACUGAGAUUUAAAUGGAUAUAUCAUGACUAAGAGCAUGUCUGCAUCGUCAAAAUUCCUGAGACCACUGGAAAAAUACUCAAGGAGAAGCUUUUAAAUCUUUAGCAAGCUUAUGAGUCACUACUUUUUCAAAGUGGCAAAAUCAGAGCAUCAGGAUGGUCUAAGGCACCAGACUGAAUAUAAUGAAGCUAGAACCUUACUGGCACAUGUCAUCAGUCUCUAACUGACUUGCACCACCAUACCUUCAACAAAAUAAAUACUGCAGUCCAAUGUUAGGAAUGCAAGCUCCAUAGUGUCUGUGAUAGAACAGAUCAGUUUAGCAUUUAACGGGUAGAUAACCUUCAUUAAAUCAGUUCCCCGAGGACAGCAAGGAGACAUAUUCGUGUUUUUAAAUAAAAUCAUAUUGUAAAUACAUUUGUGUGGUAACAAUUUGUGUGUAAAUAAAUUUAAUAGUAUUUUAAGUUUUAUCUGUAUAUUCAUACCCAUUUUAGUUGAUGUAAACACUACCCACACAGUCCAUUAAAGGCAUAUUCAUCUAGCCCUGAUCAAGUGAGAGCCACAAAUGAUCAACAGUUUCACUCUUUUCACGGAUUCGAAGUUGAGAAGGCCUGGCUUUAAGUAAAUUUUCAGUGGACUUAUAUUCAUGUGUUAAAUGGAAUGCUCUUUGGGCUGAGUUUCAGAGUUCACCAAGAUGCUGCUCUAUUAUAAAGACUGCUGGCUUCCACCAUUUAGUGUUAUCAGAAAACUGACCAGGGAAGAUUAAAAUUUUAGCUUGAGUCUUACAGUUGUUACAUUUAUUAAAGCAAACCUAUCU
Molecule: long non-coding RNA, 5748 nt
Filed under: Mus musculus (house mouse)
Lineage: Eukaryota; Metazoa; Chordata; Mammalia; Rodentia; Muridae
Description: predicted gene, 49085
Source: RNAcentral